This is a long non-coding RNA of Thalassophryne amazonica, 1014 nucleotides long. RefSeq lists it as uncharacterized. The transcript has 5 exons. Lineage: Eukaryota; Metazoa; Chordata; Actinopteri; Batrachoidiformes; Batrachoididae. The record is from RefSeq and is a predicted model, not a curated record.
UGAGGGUCCCAGGCCUGGUUUUUAACGUGACUUUUAUUAAAUUCAAAAUGAGGAAUACAAUGGUUUGGUUUUUGUUAAGGGGCAGAAUCUUGCAUAAAAGAACCGGGUAAAAAUAACACCUGUGUCAUUUUUUAGAUCCGUGCAAAUCCGUUGUGUUAUGUUAUUUUGGUCAGGCAUCGACUUAGGCAGCCCCAAUGCGGUGUUAGCUUCGGUCGUGUUAGCUGAAAACGCUGCUUUUAAAGUAGAAUUCCUUCGAGAAGAUGGGUGUUAUUUGCAGAGUUUUUUCUGUUUUACUGGGAAUGGAUGUUGCUUGGGGAUAUGUUAAGUUACUUGGCAUUAUUGUAUUAUUAGCUAAGGGCUAGCUAACUAGCCACUAUGUGGUCUGCUUAGACGAUGUCUGCUUAUUCAAAACCAUUAAUUCAUCCAAACUAUUAAUUCAGACCAUUCAAUCGAUUAUGGACGUUUUAUUCCAACUCCUGUGCUCCCUGCAUGUUAAGCUGAGCUAUUAAAGUUCAUCUCUUAGGCAACAAAUCUGCAUAUAAAGACUCUGAACUGUUCCUGCGUCUCCAUGUCUACUCUCUGACCACACAUUCCCAACGCCAUUGAGUGUUGCAAAUCUGACAGCAUCGUAUGGUGUCCAUCCACUUUUCAAAGACGUAAAGACAAGACCAGAGCUGGUUGCAGCAGGUACGUAAGGAAAACGUACACGUCAGGUGUUGUCUGGGAUCAGGGUUGGUGUCUCCUGCUUUAGGACGUCUGUCCCGGCACAGGGACAUUUUGGUGUUGUCUCACACUUGCGAUUGUCCAGCAGCUGAGGGACAUGUUGAAACUACAGCUAACACCUGCUGAUGAAGGAAUGAUCGCAGAUCAGGGGGAAGAAAUGUGCCAUUUAAAAAAAGAAGACAGAAGAGGUAAAGGGCUGGAUGCUGUUUAUAAUCCACCAAAUCUCUUCUACAGAACAGACAUGCAGCCAUUGUUGGUGAUUAAAGAAGAAACUCUCACUGAACACCAGGA